ACCGACAAGACUUUGGCGAUGUAAGGGAUCAACGGCAGGUUCAAAAUGAGCAACACAAGAUUGCCAAUGAACAUCGACAUGAUCACAGCCCAGAAAAUUUGGGGUUCAUCAAUCAUCAAUCUUGGACC
Molecule: non-coding RNA, 128 nt
Filed under: Ascidiaceihabitans donghaensis
Lineage: Bacteria; Pseudomonadati; Pseudomonadota; Alphaproteobacteria; Rhodobacterales; Paracoccaceae
Description: Ruegeria cis8 sRNA
Rfam family: Ruegeria cis8 sRNA
About the family: Cis-encoded.
Source: Rfam by way of RNAcentral